UCAGGAGAGCCUGCCACUAUUCAAAAAAUUGUUUGUGGGACUAAUUAUACCGUAAAAAUCGGUUUUUGGCCCCUACUUUGAUUGACAUGAACCCCUGAUGAAGUCCUUGGGACGAAACGCGUCGGGUAUGGUUUCUUGUGAAAACAUCAGACAUCCUAUAUAAUAUACCACUUGAUGGGAUAUACUGUCUAUAUCAUGUCUUCAACAACAUUGUAAACUGCAUUUUUAUUAUAUUU
This is a long non-coding RNA of Pseudophryne corroboree (corroboree frog), 236 nucleotides long. RefSeq lists it as uncharacterized. NCBI's taxonomy places the organism in Eukaryota, Metazoa, Chordata, Amphibia, Anura, Myobatrachidae. The record is from RefSeq and is a predicted model, not a curated record. The transcript is spliced from 3 exons.